GGCGUCUGGGGCAGUUGUUGCUGGCCUGGGGCGCCGGCUGGUGGGCGCUGGCAGUGAGCAGCGAAGUGCUACGUUUCGUGGCGCCG
This 86-nucleotide transfer RNA is filed under the name Ectopseudomonas mendocina. RNAcentral's name for it is "Pseudomonas mendocina tRNA-Pro(ggg)". Lineage: Bacteria; Pseudomonadati; Pseudomonadota; Gammaproteobacteria; Pseudomonadales; Pseudomonadaceae. The record is from RNAcentral.